This 392-nucleotide ribosomal RNA is filed under the name uncultured bacterium. Its description in RNAcentral is "partial 16S ribosomal RNA". It matches the Rfam family "Bacterial small subunit ribosomal RNA", at positions 338 to 747 of the family's 1533-position model. The record is from RNAcentral.
CCUACGGGUGGCAGCAGUGGGGAAUAGUGCACAAUGGGGGAAACCCUGAUGCAGCGACGCCGCGUGAGUGAAGAAGGAAUGCGUGAUGUAAAGCUCUAUCAGCAGGGAAGAAAAUGACGGUACCUGAGUAAGAAGCCCCGGCUAACUACGUGCCAGCAGCCGCGGUAAUACGUAGGGGGCAAGCGUGAUCCGGAUUUACUGGGUGUAAAGGGAGCGUAGACGGUAUGUCAAGUCAAGGGUGAAAUCCCCGCGCUCCACGUGGGAACUGCCUUUGAAACUGGCAAACUGGAGUGUGUGAGAGGAUAGUGGAAUUCCAGGUGUAGGCUUUAAUUCCGUAGAUAUCUGGAGGAACAUCAGUGGCGACGGCGACUAUCUGGCACAUACCUGACGCU